This 707-nucleotide long non-coding RNA is filed under the name Homo sapiens (human). RNAcentral describes it as "non-protein coding lnc-LRRC28-8:1". Lineage: Eukaryota; Metazoa; Chordata; Mammalia; Primates; Hominidae. The record is from RNAcentral.
GUACACAUGAGUUUGACUGGAUGACUGACUGAAAUGUCACCAGCAACUCUCCACAGGGCCAGAUGGGCACUGUGAGAAGCCCUCCCUCCCUUUUACUUUCUCCCCCAGGGCAGAGAGAGGAAUCUGCCCUUAGGCUUACUUCCCUGGGAGGAGAGCAUCAUCCUCCAACCUCUCCCACCAAAGUGAGGUCCCCAUGAGGUCACUGAUGGUCCUGAGUUGGGACUGAAGGCUGGCAAUAUUCUUCUCCAAGCCCUGCACUUGAGACAAAGCCUGGAAAAGCCCCUGGCUGGGCUAGCUCACAGGCUUCCUGAGAACUGCUACUCAGAGAGCUGUGCUCUAGCUGGGAGGAUCACCUUCUUGCAGGUCAUGCCCCAUAUUUUGCUUGGUCCUUGGAUGAGAGGAGGGAGAAACAGAGGGGACGAGGCAUGGACCAGAUCCCUUGGCAGUAGCUAAACCUUGGGAGCUGCCACCAGCUGCAAUUACUUGCUUCUGCCUUUAAUUUCAUGUUGAGAAGCCACGGGUGAUGGAAAAAGAAAUUGGUCCCCAUGGGCAGAACGCUUUUUCGAUAUGCAUUUAUUAGCAAAGCUUCUGAAGGUGUCGUAAGCUGAACGUGAGGCAGCUGCCUCUAGAAGUGAGAUUCACAUGCAGGGUGGAAAUGGUAGAUGGGAGAUCUGGAGGAGAGACACUUUGGAGAAAAAACUUCUGUU